Molecule: ribosomal RNA, 422 nt
Filed under: uncultured Pedobacter sp.
Lineage: Bacteria; Pseudomonadati; Bacteroidota; Sphingobacteriia; Sphingobacteriales; Sphingobacteriaceae
Description: bacterial SSU rRNA
Rfam family: Bacterial small subunit ribosomal RNA
Source: RNAcentral
UAAGGAAUAUUGGUCAAUGGAGGCAACUCUGAACCAGCCAUGCCGCGUGCAGGAAGACAGCCCUCUGGGUCGUAAACUGCUUUUAUUCGGGAAUAAACCACAUUACGUGUAGUGUGCUGAAUGUACCGAAGGAAUAAGGAUCGGCUAACUCCGUGCCAGCAGCCGCGGUAAUACGGAGGAUCCAAGCGUUAUCCGGAUUUAUUGGGUUUAAAGGGUGCGUAGGCGGCUUAUUAAGUCAGGGGUGAAAGACGGUGGCUCAACCAUCGCAGUGCCCUUGAUACUGAUGAGCUUGAAUGAACUAGAGGUAGGCGGAAUGUGACAAGUAGCGGUGAAAUGCAUAGAUAUGUCACAGAACACCGAUUGCGAAGGCAGCUUACUAUGGUUUUAUUGACGCUGAGGCACGAAAGCGUGGGGAUCAAACA